RNAcentral lists this small nucleolar RNA (75 nucleotides) under Sus scrofa (pig). RNAcentral's name for it is "Small nucleolar RNA SNORA71 (ENSSSCG00055015369.1)". It matches the Rfam family "Small nucleolar RNA SNORA71", at positions 59 to 134 of the family's 134-position model. Rfam says of the family: The members of this family belong to the H/ACA class of snoRNAs which bind a number of proteins (including dyskerin, Gar1p and Nop10p) to form snoRNP complexes. This class of snoRNAs are thought to guide the sites of modification of uridines to pseudouridines by forming direct base pairing interactions with substrate RNAs. The record is from RNAcentral. Lineage: Eukaryota; Metazoa; Chordata; Mammalia; Artiodactyla; Suidae.
GAGGAACUGCCGAAAGCACUUCCCCGUGUUUGGAGGGCCGGUCCUGUCCCUUACAAACUCUGGAGCUUUCGAACA